Molecule: long non-coding RNA, 2561 nt
Filed under: Homo sapiens (human)
Lineage: Eukaryota; Metazoa; Chordata; Mammalia; Primates; Hominidae
Description: HSALNT0056618
Source: RNAcentral
CUCCUCCUCCUUGUCAGAUCCGGGAAAGGAUCUUUUUCAGAUUCUUACUGGUAUGGCUCCUGCAGACAAAGUAUCACUCUUGUCGUCCAGCCUGGAGAGUGCAAUGGCAUGAUCUCAAGAGUCUCACUGCAACUUCCGCCUCCCGGGUUCAAGCAAUUCUCCUGCCUCAGCCUCCCGAGUAGCUGGGAUUAUAGGCACAUGCCACCACGCCCAGCUAAUUUUGGUAUUUUCAGUAGAGACGGGGCUUUGCCAUGUUGGCCAGGCUGGUCUCGAACUCCUGACCUCAGGAGAUCCGCCUGCCUCAGCCUCCCAAAGUGCUGGGAUUAUAGGAGUGAGCCACUGUGAUCGGCUGAGAUUUUCUGCUUCUUCAAUGCAAGUUAUUAAGUGGAAUAAGUUUUCAAAUAUUAAACAAAAACACUUUUGCAAUUUCAGAGGAAACUAAACUCAUCUAGAAGCUUAUCAAAUAUAUUUUUCUUUUAAUUUAUAGAACACAUAUGAUGCAGAAAAGGUAAUUUGUGCAUCAAAAUGGUGAAUGUGUUAAAUCAAACUCUUGCAUAAUCAAGUAUGUUGACUCUUACGUCAACAUAAGAAAACUCAGAUUCUUUAAGUCCCCUUGCAGACCACAUUUUAAAGUGUGCUUUACUGAUUAAAACACAAAGGCAACACAAUACUUUGAUGAAUUGAUUGCUUUCAAAUAUGAAGAAUUAAGACAAAAUGUAUUAGCGUUAGUUAGAUGACUAGUGGUAAACCUGGGAACCCCAGGAUAAGAUAUUUUGGCAUCCUCACAUAUGCAGAAAUAUUCAUCAGAAGUAUGCAUUGAAAACUAAAGAUAUUCGUAUCAUUUGUACCUUUGCAGGAAAAGCUGAGAGGUUCAUUCUUUUUAGAUAUGAGCUACCAAUGGUCUCAAUUCCAUAAAUAGCAUAAGAAAAAAUAAAGGAAAAUUGCCAUAAAUAUGUCGCAAGUGAGUACAAACUAGUUAAUAUAAGAUUUCAUUUCCCAUGACAAUUCAAGGUAUCUAAAACUACACCCUUUCUGUGCAACAAUUACCUGCACAUGAGUAGUAGCUGCCUCCUUUAUAAUGGCAAAAAUAAAUGUUUAGCUAUACUCCUCCCCACAUUGUGUAUUGCGCACCAGCCUUGUUUCAUUCAGUUAUUUUAUUUUAUUUCAAUUAUACUACUUUCUAGUCCAUUUUGGUAUGUGUCUUUGUUGCCCUUGGUUUAAAUCAUCCUUGUGAGUGUUUUAAAAUAUCACCUUGGUGUCAGUCAGAGUGACAUGAUCUAUAGCAUAUAUCAAAAUGAGACUUGCAUAAUAAAAUACUCUAAAGAAAAUGGUCUGUGGGACACAAAUGUAGAUUUUCUUGAAUAUAAAUGUAUAAACUGUUUUCUAACCUGGAUUUUACACGAUAGGUUUAAAUGCCUGACAUUUCUGAAGAGGCUCCUUUGGAAUAGGUGCUAGGUUAGAUGCAGAUACACAGAUAUAAAACAGACUUCCCAGUGCUGAUAGUAUGUGGGGCUAUAGAAGAAAAGACCUCAUGCAAAUGCAAUAGAAGGGUGCAAUAGCACUGUGUUAUUGGUACUCGGGGGAAAGCAGCUUAUUAUGCUUAAGUGACUGUGUGGUUUGGGGCAGGGUUCAGGUGAGAAUGUUCAGAAAGGUAUCUCAGAAAGAGUAACACAGGGACUAUCUGGAAGAACUAUAAUUUUAAAAAGACAAGAAAGCAAAGGGCAAUUUGGACAGAAAGAACACUAGUGUCCCCUGAUACACUGGUGAUAAACACUCAACAAAAAAAGGUGAUGUUGGUAUUUGCACAUGACACAAAUGAAGAUUGUUGAAAAAUAAAAUAACCAAUUUACAAACUAUUCUAUUUGCUAAAUAACAGCAGCAGUUCUCAUAAUAAUGGUUCUUUUCUCUGAACAUCAUGAUUCUUAUUGGUUUCUUGAUUAUUUUUAAAAUUCUCCAAAUGCACUUAAAUAGUCAUUAAAAAAGAAUCAUUAGUAAACUAUCACUAAAUGUAAACCAAAUGUCUUAUUGUACUAUUUUCUAAACUUCAUCAGAACAAUAUUUUUCUGCCUCUCUUCAGAAAUUGUACACCUUUAACAUUGUUGCAUAUACAGCAUUUACAAUUUUUAAUAAGAUUAUUGUUUAAAAUAAAAGACAUGGUAAGGGAGAAAAUGACAUUUACAACUUAUUUCAAAAUCUAUUUUACCUUCAUCUCUUACUUGUAUUUUAUUAUUAAUAUGUUUGUUUGCAAAGCAAUACAUUUUAAAACAUCCCUCCUUUACACUUCUUUCUUUAUUAAACUAAGUAACAUAGAGGAAAAAAAAUCAAACUGAAAGCCUCAGUUUUUUUUUCUUUUUUCUUUUUUUUGAAUUGCAAUGUCUUUCUUUUAAUUAUGUUGAAAUUCAUUAAAGCGAUUGUACUAGAGGAUUUGGCAGAGUUAAUGUCAGGCUUUAAUUUAUCAGGGUAAAUUUUGUAAAAAUCUAUUGCUGUGCUUUGUCUAAGAACUGACAUUUUAUGUAUGAUUAAAAGCUAACGUGAUUUAGUUUGGAAAGAGAAUUAUGGAA